This 78-nucleotide transfer RNA is filed under the name Chitinophaga barathri. RNAcentral's name for it is "tRNA-Val". It matches the Rfam family "tRNA". Rfam says of the family: Transfer RNA (tRNA) molecules are approximately 80 nucleotides in length. Lineage: Bacteria; Pseudomonadati; Bacteroidota; Chitinophagia; Chitinophagales; Chitinophagaceae. The record is from RNAcentral.
GGGAGCUUAGCUCAGCUGGUUCAGAGCAUCUGCCUUACAAGCAGAGGGUCGACGGUUCGAAUCCGCCAGCUCCCACGA